This 564-nucleotide ribosomal RNA is filed under the name Staphylococcus sp. HPC764. Its description in RNAcentral is "bacterial SSU rRNA". It matches the Rfam family "Bacterial small subunit ribosomal RNA", at positions 911 to 1473 of the family's 1533-position model. Lineage: Bacteria; Bacillati; Bacillota; Bacilli; Caryophanales; Staphylococcaceae. The record is from RNAcentral.
UGACGGGGACCCGCACAAGCGGUGGAGCAUGUGGUUUAAUUUCGAAGCAACGCGAAGACCUUACCAAAUCUUGACAUCCUUUGACAACUCUAGAGAUAGAGCUUUCCCCUUCGGGGGACAAAGUGACAGGUGGUGCAUGGUUGUCGUCAGCUCGUGUCGUGAGAUGUUGGGUUAAGUCCCGCAACGAGCGCAACCCUUAAGCUUAGUUGCCAUCAUUAAGUUGGGCACUCUAAGUUGACUGCCGGUGACAAACCGGAGGAAGGUGGGGAUGACGUCAAAUCAUCAUGCCCCUUAUGAUUUGGGCUACACACGUGCUACAAUGGACAAUACAAAGGGCAGCGAAACCGCGAGGUCAAGCAAAUCCCAUAAAGUUGUUCUCAGUUCGGAUUGUAGUCUGCAACUCGACUACAUGAAGCUGGAAUCGCUAGUAAUCGUAGAUCAGCAUGCUACGGUGAAUACGUUCCCGGGUCUUGUACACACCGCCCGUCACACCACGAGAGUUUGUAACACCCGAAGCCGGUGGAGUAACCAUUUGGAGCUAGCGGUUCGGGGUGUGACAACAUG